Molecule: long non-coding RNA, 2457 nt
Organism: Perca fluviatilis (European perch)
Lineage: Eukaryota; Metazoa; Chordata; Actinopteri; Perciformes; Percidae
Exons: 4
Source: RefSeq, a predicted model, not a curated record
CUCUUUUCUGUCAGAUCUUAUAUUUACAUUACGUUUGUUUGGUUUUUCAGACUUUUGUUGUUGUCAUUUUUUUUUUUUAACGAAAAUGUUCUCUUUUUUCAUUUUUGAUGAUCCUGGACUUGACAACACUCAGCCCACACAUGCUCACCCUGCUGGACGGACGCACAAACACCAUUUUGUCUACAGGUUCCUUGACUCGGGCUGACAGCAGUCAGGUGGUAGCAGAGGAGCGACCAGGGUUUUAUGACAGAGGCCUACAUAGGUCAUUGGCUACACCAGUGGAAGUACAAUGAUGAUCAGCAAUGCUGCUGAUGCACUUAUUGACAGGAAACUCGGGGUCGAGUGCAUGCCAUCUCAUAAAAAUUACAACAAAGGCCAAAAGGCUUUUGCUUUGGUGCUUGUAGCAUUUUCCUUUGACCACCAAAUGUUCUUGUAAGAGCAAAGUGCGGAUAGAACAAAGAUGAGUAAAGGAGAAAUGCAAGUUAUUUAAAGUGCAUUUAAAAUGAGUGCAGAUGAGAUUAUAUAACUGCUUAAUUUACUAUUUAAAAAUGCAAAAGGGCUUAUGCUUACGGCGCAUACAAGCCAUUGAACUUGCAUGUGUUGAGAUGGGAGGAAAACCAUGUGAAUUAAACUACCAAGAUAAAAGCCAGGCUUCUCUCUGCUGUAAGGCUACAGUGCUAAACACAGAGCUACUGCCUUUAUGACUCAAAGAACUUCAUUUCCUUAGUUAAUCAUACAUCUUUCAAUAAUUUUGACAAACAAAAGUUGUGUCAGCUGGCAGAGAGAGUGUGGUGGUAGAUCAUACAAAAGAGAAAGGAGCUGUUUAAUGCCGAAAAGUGAGAAAAGUUUAAUGUGCAAAAAAAAAAGGCACUUUAAAGCAUGCAGAACCCAAAACAGCCUUGGAUUCAGGAUAUUCUGAAUUGCAGAUUUAAGCCUUUUUUGUGUUAUUUUUGGGGGGCUUUUAUGGCCUUUAAUUGACAGGAUAGCUUGAAGACAGGAAAGGGGAGAGAGAUGGGGUGACAUGCAGCAAAGGCUUCGAACCUGGGCCGCUGCCAAGGACUCAGCCUACCGAGGUCUUUUGUGUUCUUGAAUGUUCCCCUCUUUUUUACUUUGUGUUAUCACUGACCUGUUAUGGGAGCCUCUUUCCACUGAUGUCCAUGGAUUUUUUUUUUCUUCAGAUUUUAUCCCUCCAGAAGCUACAUGUCCGGCUAAGGAGUCCAUGAACAAGACCUGUUCAUUCCAACGCAGACACAUCCACAGUCAGACUCUUGGCGGCAGCAUGUCGCAGCUCAUGCAUAAGGAAGUAGUGAGCAGCAGACCUGAGGAGACAUUGUGUGUUAAAGAGAAGAUUCUCAAGCACUGAUGGAGGAAAAAGCAGAUCUGUGAGGAUGUCCUCAGCCUCUCGGUUCAAAAUUAUUACCAGUAAAUUUUAUCAUUAUUAUUGUAUUGCAUGGAACAACAAACAUCGUCUACAAUAGACUGUCUUUGCAGUAUAUCUACCAUGUUUAAUAAAGUUGCACAGAUGGGAACUGUACUCUGGGUUAAACAGAAAGGACUGCUGGCCUUGAGGAUGCAAAGACUAAUUGACAAUGAGAAACCGGUGGUUCAAUAAUCCUUAUUGAUCUUGUCCAUCACUAAACUGAAAGUUUACAGUUAACAGUGUCCACUAACUAUGUGCUUCCCGUGCUUAGAAAAAACAACUUCACAUGAUCUUCAGGUCUGUAACAUGUUUUUUUACGCUCACUGGAUGCUGGUUGCAAAGGUCGGGGAUAUAAAAUAGAUUUUGGUACAAGACGGACAAAUCAAACUGCUGAUUGCUGCAUGUUAAAAAAAAAACACAGACUGCACAACAAAUGUUAAUAUUGAUUGUAAUCACUUGAGACAAUGUGAAGUAGAAUGGAAAACUGUGAGCUAUUGAAUUAUGAAUCAAAUGCCAUGUUUGCAGUAAUGCCUCCAAACCCAUCAUGACAUUUGUUAAAUGCAGUCCUAUUACCAUGUAUUUCCAGCACUACAGUUAUUAUGAGGACAAUACAAAGAGACUCUACAGCUUCAUUGUGUUAUGCACUAUUGAGCAGUAUUAAUUACCUGACUAAUUUAAGAAUUAAAAGACAUAAAUAAUCCAUUGUAUUAUAAUAGUGUAAUUGCUCUUGGGGGAAUUGUUGGGUCUCUGUACAUUAUAGUGUGUAUUCUGUUAGGAUUUGACACUAUAAAUAAAAUUGAAUUAUUAUGAAAAUGUAACCAAAACCACCAUACCAUAGUUUUAUGACUACAGUACUGUGUACACUGUGUGUUUAACAUUGAUUAAACAGGAUUUUUGGGGUGUUCUGCAGAUUUGACACAGACUCUAUUGGCCAUAAAAUCAUAAUAAGUGAUGUUUUGAGCUCAGCAAUGCAGCAAAAGGAAGGAUGGAGCAAUAGAUGAGAAAUGUCUUCACAAUAAAAUGUUUUUUUUAAGUUC